CCUACGGGGGGCUGCAGUGGGGAAUAUUGCACAAUGGGCGCAAGCCUGAUGCAGCCAUGCCGCGUGUGUGGAGAAGGCCUUCGGGUUGUAAAGCACCUUCAGCGGGGAGGAAGGCGGUGAGGUUAAUAACCUCAUCGAUUGACGUUACCCGCAGAAGAAGCACCGGCUAACUCCGUGCCAGCAGCCGCGGUAAUACGGAGGGUGCAAGCGUUAAUCGGAAUUACUGGGCGUAAAGCGCACGCAGGCGGUCUGUCAAGUCGGAUGUGAAAUCCCCGGGCUCAGCCUGGGAACUGCAUUCGAAACUGGCAGGCUAGAGUCUUGUAGAGGGGGGUAGAAUUCCAGGUGUAGCGGUGAAAUGCGUAGAGAUCUGGAGGAAUACCGGUGGCGAAGGCGGCCCCCUGGACAAAGACUGACGCUCAGGUGCGAAAGCGUGGGGAGCAAACAGGAUUAGAUACCCGGGUAGUC
RNAcentral lists this ribosomal RNA (465 nucleotides) under uncultured Klebsiella sp. RNAcentral describes it as "bacterial SSU rRNA". It matches the Rfam family "Bacterial small subunit ribosomal RNA", at positions 338 to 795 of the family's 1533-position model. Lineage: Bacteria; Pseudomonadati; Pseudomonadota; Gammaproteobacteria; Enterobacterales; Enterobacteriaceae. The record is from RNAcentral.